UCAAACAGAGCGCCAGCGCUAU
This 22-nucleotide microRNA is filed under the name Bombyx mori (domestic silkworm). RNAcentral's name for it is "bmo-miR-2839-5p". Lineage: Eukaryota; Metazoa; Arthropoda; Insecta; Lepidoptera; Bombycidae. The record is from miRBase by way of RNAcentral.